This 312-nucleotide unclassified non-coding RNA is filed under the name Zea mays. RNAcentral describes it as "misc RNA Zm00001eb307940". Lineage: Eukaryota; Viridiplantae; Streptophyta; Magnoliopsida; Poales; Poaceae. The record is from RNAcentral.
AAGGGGCGCCGUCGGCUCGCGCCCGCACGCCUGCUCGUGGCGGCGGAGCAGCGAGUGGUGGCGUCGGCUUGGGGUGACCAGGCCUGGGCGGCGGCCGGUGGAAGGCGCGGUCCGACUGCUGCUGCUAGAGAUCGGCGAGCUGAAGGCGGCGGUCGAGCGAGAGAUUGUCGGCCGUGAGGGAGGAGAGUUGGAGGCGGCGGCCGAGCGAGAGAUUGCCGGCCAUGAGGGAGGAGAGCGUCAGCUCCAUGGAAGAAGGCUCCCGCGCCCUGCUGCCGUGGGGGGAGAGAAACCAGGGAGUGUGGUGGCUGGUGG